AACGCCGCGUGAGUGAGGAAGGCCUUAUGGGUUGUAAAGCUCUGUUGCUGGGGAAGAAGGCUAGUGUGAGGAAAUGCGGCAUUAGUUGACGGUACCCGGUGAGGAAGCACUUGGCUAACUACGUGCCAGCAACGGCGGUGACUGAGCGGGCUGGCAAGGCGCAUA
Molecule: ribosomal RNA, 165 nt
Filed under: uncultured bacterium
Lineage: Bacteria
Description: partial 16S ribosomal RNA
Rfam family: Bacterial small subunit ribosomal RNA
Source: RNAcentral